Non-coding RNA from Megalopta genalis, 470 nucleotides. NCBI's taxonomy places the organism in Eukaryota, Metazoa, Arthropoda, Insecta, Hymenoptera, Halictidae. The record is from RefSeq and is a predicted model, not a curated record.
UGAAAUAAUCAUGUUUUGCCUGUGCAGUAUUAUUCUCAUGCUCGCAAGCUUGCAAUGUAUUAUUCGAGUAUAGGAAUUUCUACGGAUAUCUCACGCCUACGUUAACGUACAACGUUAAGAACCUGAAGACUUUUGAUUAUUAUUGGCUAAGUAUGCGCCGAGCAAGAGACGUGAUUGGGUGGAGCGGACGACGACCCCCCCCUCCUUGCGCCUCGCGUCGAUUAGCUUGUGACUCUUCUCGUUUACUAAUAGAAGUGGGUUUCGGGAGGUCGUAGAAAAGUGAAGGCUACACUGAAGGACUACACAGAACGACAGACUUCUUCUGAGCAACGGACAGUAUAUGUAUAUGUAUAUACAUGUGUACCCAUCUACACGUAUGCGUAACAUACCAUAUAAUUUUUAAUAAAGGUGUACAUGUGUAUUUCGAUAUACGUGUAAGUACUCGUGUAUUUUGGUAUACGGUGAGUGCA